Molecule: long non-coding RNA, 2866 nt
Organism: Dicentrarchus labrax (European seabass)
Lineage: Eukaryota; Metazoa; Chordata; Actinopteri; Moronidae
Exons: 2
Source: RefSeq, a predicted model, not a curated record
GAUCGGACUGUCCUUGGGUUCCUGUAUGGAUCAGCAAAGGUGGAAGAAAGUCAUUGUAUUUGCAAGUCCCAAAUCGAAGAAAAGUUGUGGUCAUAACGGUAAUGAGCUCAACCCCGCGGGAGACAUCACAGGACAAUUGAUCAUUUAGUUAUCAUCACUGCGCUAAGUCAUAGUAGUUUUGUUACAUUAACAGUAUACGUGUACACAAAACAAUGGAAUGUUUACUUGCAGGUGCCAUACGAUGAUGAACAACAACAGGAGACUAAUAAAACAUUACAAAGUAAUUAAUAAUGUAUUAUGUCAAUUCAGCAUUCUGAUGUAUGGCAAUAGAAGCUGAAUGUUAUCUGAGUUGUGAAACAUCACAAAGUAAUUAAACAGGAUUAAUUUUAAUAAUGCCUGCAGCACAAUGACAAAAAAGAAAGAACAUAAAAAAAAAGGUAGGAGAAGGUGCAACAGGAGGCAACCAUGGGUUGCAAAUCUCUUAAUGCAUGGUUAAAUCCCAAGUACUAGCGGCAGCAGCACACAAGAGAGAACAGAUAAUUCAGACUUCAAAAAGGUAGGCCUUACAAGCAACACCUGAGAAGAGACUUUAUGUGCAACACCAGAGAAAGAGGACAAGUCUUCAGAUGCAACACCUGACACAAGUCAUAGAUGACCAAGAACUCACGAGCAAUAUUAGAGGAGAGAAAGAGACCAAAGGAAGGCUAACUGGAUAAUGUUGAGUCUGAGGAAGCAAUCGAGGAAGGUACAAGUAAUGUAGAACAGGCCCUAUUGAAGCAUUUUUAAAGUAAUAGAUCCAGUCCACAACCAAGCGUUUGAUCUCAAGUGUAAGGCCAGCAAUGUCAAAAUGUGUUGAUAGAGGACCACGUCAACCUUUUCUUAGAUGUGGUAUGAAAAUAAGCCAUGGUUGGAGUAUUCACUGGACAAGGACACAACCUACUGCUUCAGCUGUUGGCUUUUUCUAAGUGAAGAAAAGUACAGUGACAAGACUGCUCAGACAGUGGCUGGUAAACAACUGGAAAAGAGGGCUUUAAAAAAAAUGCAAGAGUACUUACUUAACAAGCAUGGUGUGAUGAAACACAAAAAAAGAAAGCAGCUUUUGAUGUAUCAGAAGUUCAAGGCAGGGCGAUAGAGAAACAAAGAAACAAAGUUUGACUAGAUUAAUUUGCGCAAUUUCAUAUUGUACGACAGGGGAAGGCUUUCAGGGGUGAGAACGAGUCUGCCACAAGCUGGAUAACAUAUCAAGAGGUUUUGCUCCUCUCUAACAGAACACCAAAUGAUCUCAUAAAAGCCCUGGCCACAUUCACAAAGAGAGAGACAGGGAAAGAAAUGGACGAGGUUAAAAUAUAUUUGAUUCCCGUAGACAAAAACCAAUGCUGUAUCUCAUCACAGGCAGGUCACCUUUGUUGUGUGACAAGAUAGAGAAUACAGUUCUUGACUAGCUACGGAGACAUGUCCUACUGAUCCAUAAAACACGUGGUCAAGGCUAUGGUAUCGAUGCUAGCAUGAGUGGUCAACACAAAAGAACUGGAAUCAAGAAUACUGCAACACAAUGACAAAGGUUCUGUAUGUGCAUUGCGUUGUUUUUUUGACCCCUACAAACUCAGGGUACAGCCCUGUUCACCGCAUAUAUUGUAUAUUGGAGUGUGGACACCUUGUCCAACCUGAGGACAGAAGGACAGUUUGGAACACUGUUUAAGAAUGCCACUGAAAAGGCAGAAGCCGCUGGGAUCAGCAUCCCAACAGGCCCCCAUGACAGAAAAAGCAGAGGAGGGUGCCUGCAAAUAAAGACAGAGAGCAUCUCCUUCCAGCCAGUGGAAGACUACAAUAGGAAUAUGUGGUAUCCAUUCAUUGAUGUUCUUUCUGAGAAACUACACAAGAUUUAGGGUUUUCAAGAGCUACUGACCCAUAUGGAGCCUAAUCACAAACCCUAUCAAGACAAACUAUUACAAGUCGUAUUAAAGCUAGUUUUGCUAAGAAAAAAAAAAACUGAAAACGCAAUUUAGUAGUGCUAGGUUUGGGGUCCUUACAACCAACUGCUGGACAGCGCCCUCAAUGGAGAGCUACAUGACAAUUACACGCCACAAAAAUCGAUGAGGACUGGCAGGUUAAAGUGUUAAAUUGGUGCAGCAGAGACUUGAGGACUUAUGGGAAAGUGGCUGCAUGUGUCCACAACAAUGCAUGCAACAUCAUGGCUGCGAACUCUCCUGGAUGGAUGACCUGGGAGUGGCUGUUUUGCCCAUUCACUUCAGCACAUUACUGUGAUUAUCACUGACAUAAAAGUGUGUUAUCAGUUAAGAGGGACAUUAUCACAUUAAUUAGACUAUAUUGUUCACCACAGGUUGACACAGAUGAGUUGGUGGCCAAACCAGCACUGAUCGCCUCUGUCCUGGACCCUCGCCAUACACAUCUGGGGGAUUUUUCCACCAAGAGAGAAGCUGCAAAAGAUAAUGGAAAUCUGUUCUACUGUGGAAGUGGCCAGUGCCACUGAUGAUGAUGAUGAUGAUCCUGGUACUGUCGCUACAGGGGGAGAUGAGAAAGCGGCCCCUGCUGCCCAGGCUGGAGUCACACAAUACCGCCAGGAAAAUGUAAUGAUAUCGCUCCUGGGAGGCGACUACAGCAUCCCUCAACAAGCUAAUGACCCAGAGGUGGAGGUGGACACCUAUGUUAGAGACGAUCACCCCUCAUUGACUGGUGGAAAGGUUGGCAACAGUAGCAAGAUGCCAUCUCUGCGUUCCCGGGACAUUGGUACCAUCUGUGGGUAUCCUCCACUGCUGGUCUCAUAGUCAACACACUGCAUACCAGACAAUGUCGACAUGUUGCUAUUUCUGAAUAAAAACCAGCAGACAAGCUGUUCAGUGGUGAA